This is a long non-coding RNA of Brassica rapa (field mustard), 2767 nucleotides long. RefSeq lists it as uncharacterized. The record is from RefSeq and is a predicted model, not a curated record. Lineage: Eukaryota; Viridiplantae; Streptophyta; Magnoliopsida; Brassicales; Brassicaceae.
AUGCCAAGGAAAACCAAUAUAGCCUUUCAAAAAAAACAUAAGAAAAAAAGUGCGACUAAGGAGGGGGUUUAUUGAUAGAUGAAUUUGGAUAGAGUUGGUGAAUUUUAACAGUUAGAUAGAUUUUAAAAGAAAAAUUUACACUCACAGACACAUUUUGACUUUACAAUAUCACAAUAAGACACAUUCCACUUGCAAUACACAUUCUACUUGUGUAAUGUCCAUGAUACCCUCUUAACCAGCACCUCAUUCUCGCUAUCUUUUUACUUUUUUGUGCUUUAGUUUUUUUUUUUUUUUUAAUUUGCUGAUUUAAAGAAAACAAAGAAAGUCACUUUCCCAAAUUCCCAGUUCACGAACCCUAAUCUUAUUUGUUAGAUUUUCUAUGGUUGCAAUUCAUUGUCAUUUUCUCACCCUAAUCCAUUUCAGUCCCUCACUCCGUAAAUCAUUCGCGAAUCAAAAUCAUUUUCUUCUCCACAUUUAUCUGUUUCGUAGCGGUAGUCUCUGAGCCACCGGCCCACCGUCGAACAAAGCCCCCACACCUGCUCCCGUGAGCAACAGAUUUCUAAAUGCAAGAUAUUGUGGAUGUGCUGGAGCUAUCACAGCACCAAGAUGUCUCGUGAAACUACACAAAGAAGAAAGUUUUGAUUUUAAUGAGAGCAAGAAAGAGUAAAGAUAAGUUUACGCCGUGGAAGAAGUUAGAUGGUAACGAGUUCGGUAUACAAAACUCCAUGAAUCUACACGUAUGGUUCCCAAUAAGCUCAGGAAAAGAGGUACCUCUUAGUUUUUCCCAGGCUUUGACUUAGGCUUCUGGUUAGCUUAUGUAGUGUGUCUAAACAAUUUUUAUUAGCGUACGUUAGAAAGCUUAUGUUUUUUGUAAUUGUUAGUCGAAUAUGGACCUGGCAAAUCUCUUUAGAUUGCUUUAUCCAGUUUUUUUCUGUUUGAUGGAGAAAGAAAUAUGAUAUCCAUGUCCAUAGUUUUUGUGUCCAUGUCCAUAAUUAUAUUAUAACUAUAUUAUCCACAAUAAGGUAUCAAUAUGGUAUGCAUAAAGUACUUGUCCACAGAUACUAAAAAAUUAUGUAAGAUGAUUAAGAAUAUAAAAACUUGUCCAAGAAAACACAUCAAUGAAACUUAGUUCAUGAAACCUCAUCCACGAAAAUUUUAAAGAGAUUUUCUAUAUUUUUUAUCCAUCCAUGUCCACAUCUUUUUAUGUUCACGUAUUUUUCUUACAUGUUCACAAUUUUGCAUCCACACUUCUUAUGUCCAUACAUUUUUUUAUAUAAUUGUUGAAAUAUAUAAAAUAUAUAUAUGAAAAUGGAUGUUAAAAUAUAGAGAAAAACAAAUUACAAUUUAUUGUAAUAAUUAUACUUUCUUCAAAUGUCUUAAACUCUGAGAAAAAAACAAAUAAAAACAUAAGAACUUUGCAAAAAGAACAAAGAAAAAAUUGAGAAAAAAUAAAUAAAAUAAAAAAAUGCAGCCAUCCUCUAGUUUCUCUGAACCAAACGUGAAGGGUACUGCUGUAAAACCACAAGGGGUGGAAGAGGACAAUGUGUCCCUCAAGUGGAAAGUGCUUUAUCUUGUAAAAAAAGAGAAUAAUGUGUCUGAUGAUGUAACGCACUCAUUUUAAAACUUAUGUGGAUUGUAAAAAUUUAUAUCACAAGGUUACAUAUGAUAUUUUUAUUUCAGAUUCCCGUAAGAACGUAGUGGUUCUUACCUAAAGCUUUAAACCUAGUUGAGUCACAAUUCUGAUAACGAAAGACAAAAAGAAAUAUAAAAAAAAUUUGAUUGAUUCCGGACUGAACCUUAUAUAAGGCUAAAGAAAAAACGCAACAUGUUACCUUUUCACACGCAUCUGAGAUUAUUUUGGGAAAACUGCAUGACAAUAUAUAUAAUAUCUUAGCCUAAGCUAUGUUAUGGAUAUAAACUUAAUUUCCUAGUAUGUUAUGUAUACGUUCUCAAAUUUCCCUUUUAUCUUCUUUAUUUUUUAGACAUGGCAGCAUGCAUUCACCGUCACCGGUCCAGCAUUGUUAUUCCUAACCACCAACAAAAACUUAUUGGUUGAAAUUCUCUUCUUGAAUACGAAUGUGAAUCGGGAAUCGUGACUUCGCCUUGCAGUCAAUGUGGUGUCGUCUUACUCCCGCCUCUCAGUUUCAUAUCUCAGAAACCUCCUCCUUCUCUCACCGCACAAGAUUUGGAACUCUGUCUUCUUCUCUCACCGCCGUGAACCCAACCGGUUUGCGUCCUGGAUCUUGUACAUCUUAGAUAAUAGAUAUUCACCUUUCCCUCUUUAAUCUAUCCAAAGUUAACUUGAGAUGAUAUGUGAAUAAAAAUGAGCCACGGUUUAUCUCUUACAUCAAUUAAUUAUUAAUUUUUUGCAGGUUUCAUCGUUUGUUUAAAAAGGUACCAUUGUAUUAUUAUGGAAAAUAUGGUUGUGAUUGGUAACUCAGUGAAGUAAAAGAGACAGAGUAAAGUGGAGUAAUAGAACGGAAAAGAAAAUGUAAAUCAGAGUAAAUGAUAACAAAAAGUUGUUGCACGGAUUUCACUAGGCCUGGGCGUUCGGGUACCCGUUGGCAUUCGGAUCGGGUUUUUCGAGUUUUCGAAUUUUCGGGUUUACGUUCCUAGGUUCCAUACUAAAAUUUUAUUAGUACGGGUCGGAUUCAGAUAAUAACACUUCAGAUUCGGUUCAAAAUUAUAUUGCGUCCUAAAACCCAUAAAGUAAUCAUAUACCGUACGGAUUCGGGUUAUAUCGGUUCGGUUCGAAUAUAACCGAAGU